CUUACAAGGAUUUCCUUAGUAACGGCGAGUGAACCGGGAAUAGCCCAGCCUUAUAAUCCAAUGGUUUUGCUGUUUGAAUUGUAGUCUGGAGAAGCGUCCUUAGCGGCGGACUGGGCCCAAGUCCCCUGGAAAGGGGCGCCGGAGAGGGUGAGAGCCCCGUUGGGCCCAGACCCUGUCGCACCACAAGGUGCUGUCUUAGAGUCGGGUUGUUUGGGAAUGCAGCCUAAAUCGGGUGGUGAAUUCUGUCCAAGGCUAAAUACAGGUGAGAGCCCGAUAGCGAACAAGUACCGCGAGGGAAAGAUGAAAAGAACUUUGAAAAAAGAGCCAAAGAGUGCUUGAAAUUGCCGAGAGGGAAGCGGAUGGAGACCGGCGGUAGGCCCAGGUUGGAUGUGGAACGGUGAUUAGCCGGUCUGUUGAUAGACUCUGGGUGUGGAUCAACGAGAAUUCGGGUGGCGGUUGAAGCUUGGGCAUCUGAUAUGCUAAGGGAAUGCCGGCACUCGGAUUGUGGGAGUAGUGCGCGCCCUGUGCGUGCUUCGGCACCUGCGUUCUCUGGUCGUUGACUUGUGGGCUCUCCAUUUGACCCGUCUUGAAACACGGACCAAGGAGUCUGACAUGUGUGCGAGUUAGCGGGUGGAAAAACCUGUAAGGCGUAAGGAAGCUGAUUGGCGGGAUCCCUCUUGGGGGUGCACCGCUGACUGACCUUGAUCUUUUGAGAAGGGUUCGAGUGUGAGCAUACCUGUUGGGACCCGAAAGAUGGUGAACUAUGCCUGAGCAGGGUGAAGCCAGAGGAAACUCUGGUGGAGGCCCGUAGCGAUACUGACGUGCAAAUCGUUCGUUUGACUUGGGUAUAGGGGCGAAAG
This 860-nucleotide ribosomal RNA is filed under the name Cuscuta prismatica. Its description in RNAcentral is "eukaryotic LSU rRNA". It matches the Rfam family "Eukaryotic large subunit ribosomal RNA", at positions 65 to 929 of the family's 3401-position model. Lineage: Eukaryota; Viridiplantae; Streptophyta; Magnoliopsida; Solanales; Convolvulaceae. The record is from RNAcentral.